RNAcentral lists this ribosomal RNA (253 nucleotides) under uncultured bacterium. RNAcentral describes it as "partial 16S ribosomal RNA". It matches the Rfam family "Bacterial small subunit ribosomal RNA", at positions 524 to 776 of the family's 1533-position model. The record is from RNAcentral.
UACGAAGGGGGCUAGCGUUGCUCGGAAUUACUGGGCGUAAAGGGUGCGUAGGCGGGUUUUUAAGUCAGGGGUGAAAUCCUGGAGCUCAACUCCAGAACUGCCUUUGAUACUGAAGAUCUUGAGUCCGGGAGAGGUGAGUGGAACUGCGAGUGUAGAGGUGAAAUUCGUAGAUAUUCGCAAGAACACCAGUGGCGAAGGCGGCUCACUGGCCCGGUACUGACGCUGAGGCACGAAAGCGUGGGGAGCAAACAGG